Molecule: long non-coding RNA, 502 nt
Organism: Priapulus caudatus
Lineage: Eukaryota; Metazoa; Priapulida; Priapulimorpha; Priapulimorphida; Priapulidae
Exons: 4
Source: RefSeq, a predicted model, not a curated record
CUGGAGUUGCCACUGAGUCAGGCGAUUCUUGCUGCCACCCCCAUUCAGUUGGAGAGACAUGCCACACCAUUAUUGGGCUGUUAGGAGAUUCAGUGAACAGAGGCAGCAUGUAUGACUUGGCUGGGGGAGUAACUCGUGGUUCUGUGACCAAGUUUUGCUGGCAGCUUAUAAAUCCUGGCCAUAAAAGCAAGCCGUGCUGUCUGCCGCGGGGCCUGCAGCAUUAACCUCAGCGCCACGCAAGGUCGGUUAAAGUGAACUACAAAGAGCCACGCACCAUGACGAAUGACGGAAAGAGCCGAUGGGUUUUCCGAUUGACGGCGGGCUAUAUGUACGUUAGUGAUGGCGACUCCGUGCACAGGCACUUGAAACGUCUUGGAAAAAAAGAAGCCAACGCAAGUUUCUCUCCCUCUCGCGUUCUUGCCAUCACCACUGCGCGUAUGGGGACUCGCCUGCCUCGCGCAGACAAAUCUUCUACAGGAUUGGAAUCAUUCUGACAAUUCGU